GACGCGCAUGCGCGGCGGGGCCGCGCUGGCCGGCCUCGGGGCCGGGUCUCUGGCGAUUCAGGCCUUUUGCUAAGAGUCGUGACGUGCACGUGACCCCAUUGGACCAGCCUUUCCUGCAUGAAUUCUUGACAACUUUCAAGAUCCAGAUGGGAAGAGGGCAGUGCUAUAGGAGGGGAGACCACUGGUGACAUGCCAGGUCCCACAGGGCAAUGCUGGUGGACCGAGAUGGAUGCCUGCAAUCACCUGGGUUGCAUCACAGGAGAGGAACACUGAGCUUGGCAGAGCCACUGCUUUUAGAGUAAACAGUGCGAAACCUGUUCUUUGUCUAUAAGAACUUACUUCUUCCAUCAAGGCUGGUCCCUUGAAACACAAUCAUGAGAAAUGGCCCAAGUAAAGAGUGGUCAGAGUGUUGUUUUCUUGGCACACCCUGCAAGAAAAUGCAGGGAAGCUUAGUGUCUGUGACACAUUGUUUUGCCCAGUACUUUUCUCUUAAAUGGUUGGCACAGUUUUCUUAGGAAAAUUCCAGCUGAUCCUGUUACAUUUUUGUGAAGUCAUUCUUUGAUAACUUUACUUCUUCUAUGCAAAUUGACCUUAUUAAGCUUUCCUUGCAUCCUGGACAUAAUUUCCAUAAGCUGUAUUUUCCUAAGAAAUUUUCCAUUUCACCUAGGUUUUUAAGUUUAUUUACAGUGAGAUGUAAAAAAAUAGUUAGCCAUGAUGUUUUACCUUCUUUCUCUAUUGAGAAUUUCUUCCCCAGGUAAUUGCUUACUUUGUCUAUUGAUAUUCUCAUGUCAAAUGAUUUGCGUAUUUUGUUUAUUUUUCCCCAAACGAUCCAGAUUUUUGUUUGUUAAUCUACUUUUUCCCCCGUGUCUUUAUCAUUUCAUUAAUUUCUGCUUUAUCAUUAUUGCUUCUUCUCUCAAUCUUUCUUUGGUUACUUUGUUUUGUCCUCCCUAAUUUUUUGAGCUAAGAGUUUAUUUCAUUUAUUUUCAUUCUUUCAUAUUAUUGUUAUAGAUGUUUAAGGUGAUACAUUUUGCCCUCAUUGCUUUUUAAAUCAUACCCCAUAGAUUCUGAUACGUUGUAAUUUUAUCCUCAUUAUUUUUCAAAAAAAAAUCUAUAAUUUCUAUUUUUAUUUCCCUCUUUACUCAAAGGUCUUUUUUUUUUUUUUUUUUUUAUCCUUUUAGGGCUGCACCUGCGGCAUAUGGAGGUUUCCAGGCUAGGGGUUGAAUUGGAGCCUACGCCAGAGCCACAGCAACGCCAGAUCUGAGCCUCGUCUGCGCCCUACACCACAGCUCACGGCAAUGCUGGAUCCUUAACCCACUGAGCGAGGCCAGGGAUUGAACCCGCAACCUCAUGGUUCCUAGUCAGAUCCGCUUCUGCUGCAUCGCAAUAGGAACUCCCUCUUAAGUCUUUAUAGUAGGUUUUAAAAUUUCCAGGUUAGGUCCUUCCUAUUUUGAAUUUGUUUCUCAUUUUUAAUUUUAAGAUUAGAGUGUUGUUAGUGAUAUUUUUAUUUUAUGAAUUUUCAGAUGUUUCUGUGAUCUGAGACAUAGUCACUAUUUAUGAAUCUUUUCCGUGUCAUUGAGAAGAAGGGAUAUUUGCAUCAUCAGGGAAAGAAGACAUGUUCUUUGUGUAUCAAUAGAAUCUGCCUCAUUAUGUUGUUUAAAUUUCUUAAUUUGUGUUCACUUGACCUGUCAUGUCUUGGGAGUGAUGCAUUAAAGUCUUCUAUGAUUUGUG
RNAcentral lists this long non-coding RNA (1728 nucleotides) under Sus scrofa (pig). RNAcentral's name for it is "lncRNA (ENSSSCG00050047071.1)". Lineage: Eukaryota; Metazoa; Chordata; Mammalia; Artiodactyla; Suidae. The record is from RNAcentral.